Molecule: unclassified non-coding RNA, 22 nt
Filed under: Mus musculus (house mouse)
Lineage: Eukaryota; Metazoa; Chordata; Mammalia; Rodentia; Muridae
Description: oocyte_clustered_small_RNA4297
Source: RNAcentral
UGCAACUGCAUGACAGCUGCAG